GUUGGUUAUGCCGUUUGGUCUCACAAAUGCACCGAGCACAUUUAUGUGUUUAAUAAAUCAUGUUUUACGUGCUUUCAUAGGAAAAUUUGCUGUAAUUUACUUUGAUGACAUUCUGAUUUAUAGCAAAGACCUAAGUGAGCAUUUAGAACAUUUAAAGUGCAUGCUUGUUGUGUUAAGAAAUGAACAAUUGUAUGCUAAUUUUAAAAAUUGCAUGUUUUGCAUGGAUAGAGUUAUUUUUCUAGUAUUUAUUGUAAGUGCUAAUGAGGUAGAAGUGGAUGAGAAAAAGAUUAAAGUUAUUAAAGAAUGGCCAACACCUAAAAGUAUAAUUGAGGUUAGGAGCUUCCAUGGUCUGGCUAGUUUUUAUAAGUAGUUUAUGAGAGACUUUAGCACAUUCACAACACAAUUAAUUGAAAUUGUUGAGAAAAGCGUAGGUUUUCACUGGAGGGAAAUACAAGAACAUGCAUUUAAUACCAUCAAGGAUAAAUUGUGUAAAACACUUGUUUUGACAUUACCUAACUUUGAUAAGACGUUCGAGAAUGAGUGUGAUGCAUCAGGAAUAUGUAUUGGACCAGUGUUAUGCAAGAAAGGAGACCAAUUGCUUACUUUAGCGAGAAGUUGAGUGGAACUGCACUGAGCUACCCAAUGUAUGACAAGGAGCUGUAUUCCCUUGUUCAAGCAUUGGAGACUUGAUAGCAUUACUUGUGGCCUAAAGAAUUCAUGAUACACACCGAUCAUGAGUCUCUAAAGCACUUACGAGGUUAAGGUAAGUUGAACAAGUGACAUGCGAUGUGGAUGAAGUUCAUAAAGAUGUUUCCUUACGUCAUCAGGUAUAAGCAAGGUAAUGAAAACGUAGUUGUAGAUGCAUUGUCAUGAAGGUAAGCGCUUCUUAACUCUUUAAGUGCGAAAUUACUUGGUUUUAAGCUUAUUAAGAGCAUGUAUGAAAAUGACAUUGAUUUCUCAAACAUGUGUAAUUCAUGUGCUAAAAUGGCUGUUAAUAAAUUUUAUAGACAUGAGGGAUAUUUGUUUAGGGAAGAUAGGUUGUGCAUUCCAAUUUGUUCAAUGCAUGAAUUAUUGGUAAGGGAAGCACACAGUGGGGGUUUAAUGAGUCAUUUUGGAAUUUUAAAGACUUUAGACAUGUUAGGGAAACACUUUUAUUGGCCUAAAAUGCGUAGUGACAUAGAAUGGAUUUGUGAGAAGUGUAUAACUUGUAAACAGGCUAAAUCAAAAGUUUUACCCCAUGGCUUGUAUACACCUUUAUCUGUGCCUAGUGAACCUUAGGUGGAUAUUUCUAUGGAUUUCGUGUUGGGAUUGCCUAGGACAAAGAAAUGACGGGAUUCUAUCUUUGUAGUGGUUGAUAGGUUUAGUAAAAUGACUUCAUACCAUGUCACAAUACCGAUGACGCCACUAAAAUUGCUAAUUUAUUCUUUAGGGAGAUAGUACAUUUGUAUGGAGUCUCUAAGAGUAUCGUGUCGGACCGAGAUGUUAAAUUUUUGAGUCAUUUCUGACGUAUUUUGUGUAAUAAGUUAGGAACUAAAUUGUUAUUUUCUACAACUUGUCACCCACAAACGGAUGGUCAAACUGAAAUAGUAAAUAGGACCAUGACUCAAUUGUUUCGAACAAUGAUUAAUAAGAACUUAAGAAAUUGGGAAGAUUGCUUGCCAUUUAUUGAGUUUGCUUAUAAUCGUGUUGUACAUUCGACUACUUCUUAUUCACCAUUUGAAAUUAUGUAUGGAUUUAAUCCACGAACUCCAUUGGAUUUAUUUUUUUUUGCCUAUGAAUGAACGAGGUAACAUGGAUGGUAAGAGGAAAGCUAAGAUGGUGAAGGCACUUCAUGAGAAAGUCCGUACGCAAAUUGAAGAGAAGAGCAAGCUCAUCUCAUCGAAGGCAAAUAAAAGGCAAAAGUGUGUGACAUUUGAACCCAGACAUUGGGUGUGGGAGCAUUUCAAGAAGGAACGUUUUUCGAAGCAGCAAAAGUCUAAAUUGCAACCGCGGAGAGAUGGUCCUUUCCAAAUCACCGAGAAGAACAACGAUAAUGCCUACAAAGUGGACUUACCAGGUGAGUAUAAUGUAUCGGCUGAUCUUUUCCUUUUCGAUACAGGUGCAGAUUCGAGAACGAAUCGUUUUGAAGAAGGAGGGGAUGAUGUGAUCCAAGAGUUGAGCUAGAUGAAGGCGAGUGCGGGAUGAGACCCAUUGAUAAUCGAAGGCGGACCAAUGACGCCAUCGAGGGCAAAGCAAGUGAAAUAGGCGAUGAGAUUGCUCAUUCAAUAAACCAUUGAUGAGACGAUGUUUGGGACUCAAAAUGGGACAAGUUUUGUAUUCGGGUCAAAAGUCGAAAUGAAAUGGAUCGACGCGUUACAAGGGGCCGAAAAAGAGGCUGAAUCGCAAAACCAUGCUAGCGCACCCCUUUAAUGGCUUGCGAUCACACAGGCAUAGUCAAGGAAUUCGUUGAGGAUUUCUGGGUCUACCAUGCGACCGCAUGGAAAACAACCAUGCAGCUGCAUGGUUAUAAAAAUUGACGCGUUUUAAAUUUUUUCGCGAAUUUCCUUAUUUUGUUAGAGUUUAAUAUCAAUUAGACUUCUUUCCAUAUUUUGAUGAUUUUGCACCAUUUUAGCUAGAUUUUUUAGCUUUAGUAUAAAUACUCUUUCCAUUACAUUGUG
RNAcentral lists this long non-coding RNA (2657 nucleotides) under Olea europaea subsp. europaea. The record is from RNAcentral. Lineage: Eukaryota; Viridiplantae; Streptophyta; Magnoliopsida; Lamiales; Oleaceae.